GAAAUGCGAUAAGUAAUGUGAAUUGCAGAAUUCCGUGAAUCAUCGAAUCUUUGAACGCACAUUGUGCCCUCUGGCAUUCCGGGGGGCAUGCCUGUCCGAGCGUCAUUACGCACCCUCAAGCCCGGCUUGUGUGAUGGGCCCUGGCGUCUCGUUCGCGAGACGGGCCCGAAAGGCAGCGGCGGCGUCGACCCCAUGAGCCCGAGCGUAUGGGGACUUUUGUCACACGUUUGCGGUGCGGACCGGCGCCUGCUUGACUUUUCUGAUUAUCCAGGUUGACCUCGGAUCAGGUAGGGAUACCCGCUGAACUUAAGC
Molecule: unclassified non-coding RNA, 312 nt
Filed under: plant metagenome
Description: partial contains 5.8S ribosomal RNA, internal transcribed spacer 2, and large subunit ribosomal RNA
Rfam family: 5.8S ribosomal RNA (bases 1-105)
Source: RNAcentral